AAAAAAAAUUAAUUUCAGGACCCGAAAUUUCAGGUAAAGUUGAGCUGCUGGUACCAGCGACGGCCGCAACGGAUUGGUGGUGAAAAAUUAAUUUCUCUUUUUCUUUUUCCAAAAAGAAACAAAAAAAAUUCCAAAUGCAACAAAAAUCAAUAAUGAUUUUCCAUGAAAACCACUUCCAACUCCUCCUGCUGCUUCUGCUAUUUUCCGCCCCCUAUUCUCACUCCAUAAAAAUAAAUACAAGAGGACAAAUAAAAACCAAAAAAAAAUCUAAUCUUGAAGGAGAGAGAGCAAACGUCAGAUAGAUGGAUCUAGUCUGCGUGACGAGGUAGGCUCCAGCUUACGCGCAUGUUUUCUCUCCUGUUUUUUCUCUUCUAUUUUUAUCUCCUUGCUAUUUUUCAUUUUCUCCCUCAUUUAUUUUUCUCUUCUAUCAAUUUCACCAGAGAUCGUUAAUUUCAUCCUCAAUUCCUCUCUUCUCCCUCUUCUUUUUUCGUUCCUGGAUAUUCCUGGAGUGGGACCCUCACUAAAUCUUUUUUCUGAUGGAGGAUGUAAAAGUUGCUGAAGUUAUGCCUCCUCCAGAUUCAUCUUCAUCCUCCCAAGAUAACAAUCAUUCUCAAAAGGAAGGCUUAAUAAGCAAAGUUACUAAUGGAAAGGUAGAAUCUGACAGUAAGUUAUCAGGAAAGGAACAUUCUAAUUUCACAUCUGUCCAUGAUGCCUUUGAUAAACUCAUAAUGGUCCAAGAUCAGCCUCCCCUAGCAGAAAAUUUAGGUCAAAUUCAACUUCUUCCAACAGACAUGGUGUCAACUUCAACAUCUGGUAUAGUGGAGACAGACCAUCCACAUGUAGUUGAGGAAGGUUCAAAAACUGCAAGAGAAGAUUUCUCUAAUGGACAAGAAUUUCAAGAUAAAAUUGGAACUAUUGAAAAAUCCUCAAAUGGACAACAUUACCGCCAGAAAACUGAGGCUGUUCAAGGUUCUGCUGAUGGACUGCAAUUGCAAGAAAAAAUUGAACCCCUGCAAAAUUCCUCUGACGUGCAGCAAUUUCAAAAUACUUCUUUUGCUAAAAGUCCCUGCAUUCAUAUUGAUGACAUUAUACCUAUUGCCUCCACUCCUAAGGUGAGCUUGCAAUCCGAUGAGCUUGAUCUGCCCCAAGUAAAGGUGAGAGUGCAAACAAAUGAAACUACCUCUGCCUCACCAGAUGCAAAUACUGCUGGUCAUGUUGUCCGAACACCAUUAUCUCUCAACACACUUGGAGAUGUUAAUCAGGGUGACAUAAGCAGAGGUCUUAUUGAUACAACAGCACCUUUUGAAUCUGUUAAAGAAGCUGUUUCCAAGUUUGGAGGAAUUGUAGAUUGGAAGGCCCACAAAAUCCGAACUGUAGAGAGACGCAAGCUUGUGGAACAGGAGCUAGAGAAGGUACAGGAGGAAAUGCCCCAGUACAGGAAACAGUCAGAGGAUGCUGAACUGGAAAAAAUACAAGUUCUUAAGGAGCUGGACAGCACUAAAAGACUUAUUGAAGAGCUAAAGCUCAGUCUAGAGAGGGCACAGACGGAAGAGCAUCAGGCAAAACAAGAUUCUGAGCUUGCCAAGCUGAGGGUAGAAGAACUGGAACAAGGGAUUGCUGAUGAGGCUAGUGUUGCAGCAAAGGCUCAGCUUGAGGUUGCUAAAGCCAGGCAUGCAGCUGCAAUUUCAGAACUGAAAUCUGUUAAUGAUGAAUUGGAAACACUGAAAAAGGAAUAUGCUUCUUUGGUCGCUGAGAAAUAUGAAGCUGUUAAGAAAGCUGAAGAGGCUAUUUCUGCAUCCAAGGAAAUUGAGAAGACGGUAGAGGAACUUACUAUUGAGCUGAUUGCUACAAAGGAAUCCUUAGAGUCUGCACAUGCUGCCCAUCUGGAGGCAGAGGAACAAAGAAUAGGAGCAGCUAUGGCCAGGGAGCAAGAUUCUCUGUAUUGGGAAAAGGAAUUGAAGCAGUCAGAAGAGGAGCUCCAGAAACUUAACCAACAAAUUCUUUCAGCAAAAGAUCUCAAAUCAAAAUUGGCAACUGCUUCAGCUUUGUUACUUGAUCUGAAAGCAGAAUUAGCAGCUUAUAUGGAAUCUAAGUUACAGGAGGAAACUGGUCAAGGAAACACAAUAGCUGAGCAGGAGGAACCACAAAAGAGAACUCACACUGACAUACAAGCAGCUGUGGCUUCAGCAAAGAAAGAACUUGAAGAAGUGAAGCUUAACAUAGACAAAGCAACUGAUGAAGUGAAUUGCUUGAAGGUGGCUGCCACAUCGCUGCAAUCAGAUCUUGAAAAAGAAAAAUCUUCUCUUGCUACAAUGAGGCAGAGAGAAGGAAUGGCAUCAAUAGCAGUUGCUUCUCUUGAAGCUGAGCUGGAUAAUACUAGGUCAGAGAUAGCUCUAGUUCAGAUGAAGGAGAAAGAAGCAAAAGAAAAGAUGGCAGAGUUGCCUAAGCAACUGCAGCAAGCAGCAAAAGCAGCUGAUGAGGCCAAGCAGCUGGCUCAAAUAGCUCGUGAAGAGCUGCGCAAGGCAAAGGAAGAAGCAGAACAAGCAAAGGCUGGAGCAAGUACAAUGGAGAGCAGGCUACUUGCAGCUCAAAAAGAGAUAGAGGCUGCCAAGGCUUCUGAAAAAUUGGCUUUAGCAGCUAUUAAAGCAUUGCAAGAGAGUGAAUCAGCUCAAAGCACCAAGGAUGUAGAUUCACCUGCUGGUAUAACACUUUCUUUAGAGGAGUACUAUGAGUUGAGUAAACGAGCUUGUGAGGCAGAGGAGCAGGCCAACACAAGGGUGGCAGCUGCAAUUUCUCAAAUAGAGGUAGCUAAGGAAUCUGAGUUGAAGACUGCAGAGAAGUUGGAAGAAGUGAAUAAAGAGAUGGCUGCAAGAAAGGAAGCAUUAAAAAUUGCAAUGGACAAGGCUGAGAAAGCCAAGGAAGGGAAACUGAAUGUAGAACAAGAGUUGAGGAGGUGGAGGGCAGAACACGAGCAAAGACGAAAGACUGGUGAACCUGGUCAAGGAGUUGCGGCCACUGUUAAAAGCACAAAUGGAAGCUUUGAAGACAGGAAGGAAUCCAAGAACUUUGACAAGGUACCAGAUGCCUCAGUCGAGUAUGAGUCCAGUCCAAAAGCACAUGCGCAUGUAACUAGCACUGAACCUGAAUUGUCCCCGGAAGUAAAGGUUCAAAAGAAGAAAAAGAAGUCAUUUUUCCCGCGGUUUUUAAUGUUUUUAACAAGGAAAAGGUCACACACAUCCAAGGCAGGGUAAAAAUUCUGUGAACCCAGAACAGAAGCAUUGCCUCAGUUGUGAUUUUUCCUUUCUUUGCUGGGCAUUUACCUCGACAUUUACCAUAAAAUUAUGGAUAUGAUCAUACAGAGGUUUUUUCCUCUAAUGUAAAUGUAGGUUAUUAAUUUGUGUAUGAUAAGUUAGUUGCAUUAUAUAUAUUUUUUUCCCUCUCAGAUGAGAAAUGGGUAGGUUAUUUGAUAUUCUAGUGUUUGGCUGGGGAAGGACAUAAUAAGUUGUUUCUGUAAUGUAUAGAUUUGCAGCAUUUGCACAUGGAAACCUUGUAAAGGUGUGAGCUAAAUUGAAAUUAGUUUUUCAUUUAUAAUUUUUAAAGUUUAUUUUUAUUGUU
This 3615-nucleotide unclassified non-coding RNA is filed under the name Hevea brasiliensis (rubber tree). The record is from RNAcentral. Lineage: Eukaryota; Viridiplantae; Streptophyta; Magnoliopsida; Malpighiales; Euphorbiaceae.